This 887-nucleotide ribosomal RNA is filed under the name uncultured bacterium. Its description in RNAcentral is "bacterial SSU rRNA". It matches the Rfam family "Bacterial small subunit ribosomal RNA", at positions 9 to 873 of the family's 1533-position model. The record is from RNAcentral.
AGAGUUUGAUCAUGGCUCAGAACGAACGUUAGCGGCGCGCCUAACACAUGCAAGUCGCACGAGAAAGGGCUUCGGCCCCGGUAAAGUGGCGCACGGGUGAGUAACACGUAGGUAAUCUUCCCUAGAGUGGUGGAUAACUCUCCGAAAGGAGAGCUAAUACAGCAUGAGACCACAGCAUCUACGGAUGCAGCGGUCAAAGCAGGCCUCUUCAUGAAAGCUUGCGCUCAAGGAUGAGCCUGCGGCCCAUCAGCUAGUUGGUGAGGUAACGGCCCACCAAGGCUAAGACGGGUAGCUGGUCUGAGAGGAUGAACAGCCACACUGGAACUGACACACGGUCCAGACUCCUACGGGAGGCAGCAGUGGGGAACCUUGCGCAAUGGGCGAAAGCCUGACGCAGCGACGCCGCGUGAGCGAUGAAGGCCUUCGGGUUGUAAAGCUCUGUGGGGAGAGAAGAAUAAGGAUACGCUAACACCGUACUCGAUGACGGUAUCUCCUUAGCAAGCACCGGCUAACUCUGUGCCAGCAGCCGCGGUAAGACAGAGGGUGCAAACGUUGUUCGGAAUUACUGGGCGUAAAGCGCGUGUAGGCGGCCAAGUGUGUCGGAUGUGAAAUCCCGCAGCUCAACUGUGGAAGUGCAUUCGAAACUGCUUGGCUGGAGUUUCGGAGAGGAAGGCGGAAUGCUUGGUGUAGAGGUGAAAUUCGUAGAUAUCAAGCAGAACACCUGUGGCGAAGGCGGCCUUCUGGACGAUGACUGACGCUGAGACGCGAAAGCGUGGGGAGCAAACAGGAUUAGAUACCCUGGUAGUCCACGCCGUAAACGAUGAGUGCUAGGUGUCANGGGCUUUGACCCUCCUGGUGCCGCAGCUAACGCAAUAAGCACUCCGCCU